RNAcentral lists this ribosomal RNA (491 nucleotides) under uncultured bacterium. RNAcentral's name for it is "partial 16S ribosomal RNA". It matches the Rfam family "Bacterial small subunit ribosomal RNA", at positions 28 to 507 of the family's 1533-position model. The record is from RNAcentral.
GAUGAACGCUAGCUACAGGCUUAACACAUGCAAGUCGAGGGGAAACGAUGAGAGAGCUUGCUCUCUUAGUCGUCGACCGGCGCACGGGUGAGUAACGCGUAUCCAACCUGCCUCUGACCAAGGGAUAACCCGUCGAAAGUCGGACUAAUACCUUAUGCAGUCGUCGGAAGUCAUCUGAUGACGACGAAAGAUUUCAUCGGUGAGAGAUGGGGAUGCGUCUGAUUAGCUUGUUGGCGGGGUAACGGCCCACCAAGGCGACGAUCAGUAGGGGUUCUGAGAGGAAGGUCCCCCACAUUGGAACUGGGACACGGUCCAAACUCCUACGGGAGGCAGCAGUGAGGAAUAUUGGUCAAUGGGCGUAAGCCUGAACCAGCCAAGUAGCGUGCAGGAUGACGGCCCUAUGGGUUGUAAACUGCUUUUAUGCGGGGAUAAAGUGAGGGACGUGUCCUUCAUUGCAGGUACCGCAUGAAUAAGGACCGGCUAAUUCCGUG